Molecule: ribosomal RNA, 253 nt
Filed under: uncultured bacterium
Lineage: Bacteria
Description: partial 16S ribosomal RNA
Rfam family: Bacterial small subunit ribosomal RNA
Source: RNAcentral
UACGUAGGUGGCAAGCGUUGUCCGGAUUUACUGGGCGUAAAGGGCGCGUAGGCGGCUCGUUUAGUCGGGUGUGAAAUCCCAAGGCUCAACCUUGGAACUGCAUUCGAUACUGGCGGGCUAGAGACCGGAAGAGGUGGGUGGAAUACCCAGUGUAGAGGUGAAAUUCGUAGAUAUUGGGUGGAACACCGGUGGCGAAGGCGGCUCACUGGUCCGGUUCUGACGCUGAGGCGCGAAAGCGUGGGGAGCAAACAGG